AACGCACAUUGCGCCCCCUGGCAUUCCGGGGGGCAUGCCUGUCCGAGCGUCAUUGCUGCCCUCAAGCACGGCUUGUGUGUUGGGCGGCCGUCCCCCAUCUGUCGGGGGACGGGCCCGAAAGGCAGCGGCGGCACCGCGUCCGGUCCUCGAGCGUAUGGGGCUUCGUCACCCGCUCCGCAGGCCCGGCCGGCGCCUGCCGACGACUAUCAAUCUCUUCUCCAGGUUGACCUCGGAUCAGGUAGGGAUACCCGCUGAACUUAA
Molecule: unclassified non-coding RNA, 261 nt
Filed under: uncultured Eurotiales
Lineage: Eukaryota; Fungi; Ascomycota; Eurotiomycetes; Eurotiales
Description: sequence contains 5.8S rRNA gene, ITS2, 28S rRNA gene
Source: RNAcentral